Molecule: long non-coding RNA, 959 nt
Filed under: Androctonus crassicauda
Lineage: Eukaryota; Metazoa; Arthropoda; Arachnida; Scorpiones; Buthidae
Source: RNAcentral
GAUGGGCUUUCUUUGUUUAAGUCAUCUCUUUAGGCUUUUGACCAGAACCAACACUUUUUUCCAGAUUUUUCCCAUUCUCAACUUUUCUAAUAAUGCUGUUAACCACUGGUUUCAAACUGGCGGCCCGCGAAACAAUUUUGUAUUUUGUUUUUUUAUACUCUACCUACAACCUGAAAAAUUUAUAUACCUGCCAAGAAUGGAACCAGGAACCUUUCGCGUGUAAUAUAGACACGAUGACCAUUAAACCGUCUAAUUCUAUUCUAAACAAUUCGUACGUUAUUCCCAUUGCUUUUAGGCAGCGAAAUUUAAUCAAAUUUGGUGUAACUGGAGUCUGAAACUGUUCCUCUUUCCCAAUCUCAGGAAUGUCAACUAUACAACCGAUCAGACAUCCGGUUCCUGGUGACUCUGGAACCGGAUCUGAAAACACGUGCAAUAUACCACCUCUAGAUUGCGUAUUAAAUAAUUAUAUACUGCAUAUAUUCUGUAUACAAAUGUUGAUUAAAUUAAAUAUUUACUUAGAUGAUAAAAAUCGAUAUUCUUCAUUUGUCGUUUUGAUUUAGAAAUUCGUUAUUUUUUUAUUUUUGAAGCAAAAUCACGCCAUUUUUUCGUAAGAAUUAUCUUGCUCUUAAGAUAUAUGUGUUGGUAGCAGUCUUCGAUAUUAUUAAGCGCAUUCUUUCCUUCCGAGCGACAUAUUCUUUUUCGCUUUUCUCUAUUGUGGUAUGGAUGGACGACAGAGUGGACGGUUAAAGCGAGACCGGAUAAGAGAGAGAGUCUACUGUAUUUGCAAAUAAUUUCUAGACGUUACGUAGUUAGAAAGCUUGGAGAAGUCGUAUAUUCGAUAUUAUUUCUCAGAUAGAUAGACAUCCUUUUUUUUUUUUUUUUUUUUUUACUGGAGCCUAUAUUGGACAUAUUUAAAGAAUAGUAAAUUAGCGAUGACAUCUUUUAUCAUUAAACGUUCU